GCAAACUUGGUCAUUUAGAGGAAGUAAAAGUCGUAACAAGGUCUCCGUUGGUGAACCAGCGGAGGGAUCAUUAAAGAGUUUAUAAAACUCCUUACACCCAUGUGAAUAUACCUUCUGUUGCCUCGGCAGGUCCGGGAACCCCUACCCUGUAAGUCCUACCCUGGACUUACCCUGUAGGGACCUACUUGGUAGGUCUUGGAUAAGCCUGCCGGUGGCCUAUUAAACUCUGUUUAGUAUGUUAUUCUGAACUCAAAAGCAAAAUAAGUUAAAACUUUCAACAACGGAUCUCUUGGUUCUGGCAUCGAUGAAGAACGCAGC
This 318-nucleotide unclassified non-coding RNA is filed under the name uncultured fungus. RNAcentral's name for it is "partial contains small subunit ribosomal RNA, internal transcribed spacer 1, and 5.8S ribosomal RNA". The stretch from base 1 to 73 matches the Rfam family "Eukaryotic small subunit ribosomal RNA", at positions 1759 to 1831 of the family's 1831-position model. Lineage: Eukaryota; Fungi. The record is from RNAcentral.